UCAUUGUAGCAAUACAAGGCAGACGGCUCAUUAACGCGUAGUCAACCUAACCUAUGGACGGGAAUAACCUCGGGAAACUGAGAAUAAUGCCCGAUAGAACACUAUGCCUGGAAUGGUUUGUGUUCCAAAUGAUUUAUCGCCGUAGGAUGGGACUGCGGCCUAUCAGUUUGUUGGUGAGGUAAUGGCCCACCAAGACUAUUACAGGUACGGGCUCUGAGAGGAGUAGCCCGGAGAUGGGUACUGAGACACGGACCCAGGCCCUAUGGGGCGCAGCAGGCGAGAAAACUUUGCAAUGUGCGAAAGCACGACAAGGUUAAUCCGAGUGGUUUGUGCUAAACAGACCUUUUGUUAGUCCUAGAAACACUAACGAAUAAGGGGUGGGCAAGUUCUGGUGUCAGCCGCCGCGGUAAAACCAGCACCUCAAGUGGUCAGGAUGAUUAUUGGGCCUAAAGCAUCCGUAGCCGGGUCUAUAAGUUUUCGGUUAAAUCUGUAUGCUCAACAUACAGGCUGCCGGGAAUACUGUAGAGCUAGGGAGUGGGAGAGGUAGACGGUACUCGGUAGGAAGGGGUAAAAUCCUUUGAUCUAUUGAUGACCACCUGUGGCGAAGGCGGUCUACCAGAACACGUCCGACGGUGAGGGA
This 640-nucleotide ribosomal RNA is filed under the name uncultured archaeon. Its description in RNAcentral is "bacterial SSU rRNA". It matches the Rfam family "Archaeal small subunit ribosomal RNA", at positions 58 to 704 of the family's 1478-position model. The record is from RNAcentral.